Molecule: long non-coding RNA, 1802 nt
Organism: Triticum aestivum (bread wheat)
Lineage: Eukaryota; Viridiplantae; Streptophyta; Magnoliopsida; Poales; Poaceae
Exons: 3
Source: RefSeq, a predicted model, not a curated record
CCAGAGCUCGCCUCCAGAAUCCCCUUCCUAUCGAUCCCCUCGAGAACGACGCCGCCGCCAAUCUCACUGGGAAAACCCUGUCAGAUCUCGCCUCCACGUUACGAAUCGGCGUCCGAUCUCCUUGAAGACACAGCGCCACCGAUGCCGAUCUCACUGGGAAAACCCCGCCAGAUCUCGCCUCCACGUUACGGAAUCGGCGCCCGAUCUCCUUGAGGACACAGCGUCGCCGAUCUCACUGGGAAGAACCCACGGGAUCUCGCCUGCACGCCACGGUUCUGGAUCGCCGCCGCGGACGUAAGAGGUCACGUCGGCGCCGCCGCGGACACAGGGCGGUUUCAACCCCAGGUAUGUUGUACGUGAUCAAACAAACAAAACUCAAUAAUCUGGGGUUAAACAAAUCGAUAGGAGUGCACGCCCCAGGUAUGCUGUACACGGAUUCUAUUUGUAAGUUCGUCGUGUAGAGGUCAAACAAUUCUGGGGUUCAAUCAAAUGACGCCCCAUCUUGACUGAAGUUCUGUAACAUGUACUGGCUGUAGUUCAGUCAAAUGACGCCUCAUAUUGAUCCCUGUUCUGUGACAUGUAUAGCAUAAAUCUACAGCAAGCUGCCCUUAUGGACCGAAGUCCUGUACAAUAGCAAGCUGCCCUUGCGAUCUUCGACGGCCUUUAGAACUGUUGUAAUUUCACUUGAUCUCGCUGCAAUCAGAUGAACAGUUCGUGUUAGCAUUUUGAAUUUUUAACAUGUAAGGAGCAAUCAGAUGAACAGUUCAUGUUUGCAGAGUAGAGUCUGUUAGACAUGUCUUUUUUCUUUUGACCUCUACAGAAAAACUCAUAUAUCAAUGUAGCAGAGUCUGUUGGACAUAUAUGCCCUUAUGGACUGAAUUUCUGUACAAUAGUUCUAAAGGCAUUAUUAAGAUGUAAGCAACAAAGUAUUUGCUAAUAACCUGAGUCUGUUGGACAUGUCUUUCUUUUUUUAUAUUUACAUAUGGGGAAUCAACACAGCAAGCCAACGGAGCAGACGACAUCGUCACAUGUACCUCCAGGUAUAUGUCCAACUAUAAAUCGUGCUAUACAUGUCAAACACCAUCCCAGGAAACUGAAUGUGUUGCAGGCCCGAUGGAGGCGACAGAUGUUAACUACUAUAACCAAGGGAUUAUACCCGUAGCCGACGAUGUUGACAAAAUUUACCCAAGUAGUCCAGCUAUAAGGCUGUGCAAAAUUAUGGAGUUAAAUUUUACUAGCUUGGGCAUGACCGAUUCUAAUGUACCAAGCAUGUGACUUGUAGGAGUCCAUAUUCCUCCCUCGGAACGGGUGAUAGUUGAACAGACCGAUGGUGAUAGCACAUAUGAUAGUCCAGGUAUAUAUGUACCUCCAGGUAUAUGUUCAACUACAAAUUUUGCUAUACAUGUCAAGCACCAUCACAGGAGACGCGAUGGAUGGGACAAAUGUUGACGACUAUGACCCAGAUAUUAUACCCGUAGCCGACGAAGUUGACAUGAUUUACCCAAGUAGUCCAGGAGUCCAUAUUACUCCAUCGGAACGGAUAAUACUUGAACAGACCGAUGGUGAUAGCACAUAUGUUCAUCAACCUUCCCAUCUGAUUUCGGCUCUGCAGCAACUGAUCAUCGGGAGCACUAACACUACUAUGAUGACCGAGAAAAUCAAGUCUUCUUCCAUGAACCGAAGCCAACACAUGCUUGCGGCAGAUUGAGCGACAAAAGGACCGGUCGCCACAGAACAGGAUUCCUCACAUUCGCUCGUUAAGAUACUCGAUUUGUUAUAUAAGAAGUUCUAUCUAUUGUAAU